GUCGAGCGAGAAAGCCCUUCGGGGUGAGUACAGCGGCGGACGGGUGAGUAACGCGUAGGAAUCUACCCAGUGGUGGGGGACAACAUGGGGAAACCCAUGCUAAUACCGCAUACGCCCUACGGGGGAAAGCGGGGGACCUUCGGGCCUCGCGCCAUUGGAUGAGCCUGCGUCGGAUUAGCUAGUUGGUGGGGUAAGAGCCUACCAAGGCGACGAUCCGUAGCUGGUCUGAGAGGAUGAUCAGCCACACUGGGACUGAGACACGGCCCAGACUCCUACGGGAGGCAGCAGUGGGGAAUAUUGCGCAAUGGGGGCAACCCUGACGCAGCCAUGCCGCGUGUGUGAAGAAGGCCCUAGGGUUGUAAAGCACUUUCAAUUGGGAGGAAAAGCUUGUCGUUAAUAGCGGCAAGCCGUGACGUUACCUUUAGAAGAAGCACCGGCUAACUCCGUGCCAGCAGCCGCGGUAAUACGGAGGGUGCGAGCGUUAAUCGGAAUUACUGGGCGUAAAGCGCGCGUAGGCGGUUAUUUAAGUCGGAUGUGAAAGCCCCGGGCUCAACCUGGGAACUGCAUCCGAUACUGGGUAACUAGAGUACGAGAGAGGGAGGUAGAAUUCCACGUGUAGCGGUGAAAUGCGUAGAUAUGUGGAGGAAUACCGGUGGCGAAGGCGGCCUCCUGGCUCGAUACUGACGCUGAG
Molecule: ribosomal RNA, 691 nt
Filed under: uncultured bacterium
Lineage: Bacteria
Description: bacterial SSU rRNA
Rfam family: Bacterial small subunit ribosomal RNA
Source: RNAcentral